Long non-coding RNA from Limulus polyphemus (Atlantic horseshoe crab), 129 nucleotides. RefSeq lists it as uncharacterized. NCBI's taxonomy places the organism in Eukaryota, Metazoa, Arthropoda, Merostomata, Xiphosura, Limulidae. The record is from RefSeq and is a predicted model, not a curated record. The transcript is spliced from 3 exons.
UUUGUUGUUGCUCUAAUGGCCUAGUGCACAUAUUGAACCAAAGGUAGAAGAGCGCUGCAACUUUGUUGUUAGUGGCCUAGUGCACAUAUUGAACCAAAGGUAGAAGAGCAACAACAAAGUUGCAGCUCU